GAUGAACGCUGGCGGCGUGCCUAAUACAUGCAAGUCGAGCGAACGGACGAGAAGCUUGCUUCUCUGAUGUUAGCGGCGGACGGGUGAGUAACACGUGGAUAACCUACCUAUAAGACUGGGAUAACUUCGGGAAACCGUAGCUAAUACCGGAUAAUAUUUUGAACCGCAUGGUUCAAAAGUGAAAGACGGUCUUGCUGUCACUUAUAGAUGGAUCCGCGCUGCAUUAGCUAGUUGGUAAGGUAACGGCUUACCAAGGGAACGAUGCAUAGCCGACCUGAGAGGGUGAUCGGCCACACUGGAACUGAGACACGGUCCAGACUCCCACGGGAGGCAGCAGUAGGGAAUCUUCCGCAAAGGGCGAAAGCCUGACGGAGCAACGCCGCGUGAGUGAUGAAGGUCUUCGGAUCGUAAAACUCUGUUAUUAGGGAAGAACAUAUGUGUAAGUAACUGUGCACAUCUUGACGGUACCUAAUCAGAAAGCCACGGCUAACUACGUG
RNAcentral lists this ribosomal RNA (497 nucleotides) under uncultured bacterium. Its description in RNAcentral is "partial 16S ribosomal RNA". It matches the Rfam family "Bacterial small subunit ribosomal RNA", at positions 28 to 507 of the family's 1533-position model. The record is from RNAcentral.